AGGCUGUUGAACUUCUCCAGUCCCUAAGAAAGGGCUGACAGCCUGCAGAGCCCCUACGCUUGUGGGACAUGGCUGAGAUUUGCACUGGAGCCCAGUGAACUAUGAAGUGGACAGUAGAGACCCCUACCCUGGAGGGAGCUGCUUACAGUAAAAACAGGAUACAUGGUGUGAAACCACAGAAUGCAAAAUAUAUUCAAAUCCUGGAAGAGCAACAGGGGUCUUUCUCAGCUCAUGGUCUCCUAUCGUGCUGCUCAGAUGUUCCUUGGAGAUGUUUCCCAGCAUGUACCUUCUUUGUAUUCUAGCCUGAAGAUCAAAUGAUUGUUGAUCCCAAGAUGUCACUGUUGAAUCAUCAAAGUAAUAAUAACUGGGGACCGGGAGCAAAUGGAGGAUGAAAGUAGAGCUGUGCCUGGGAAAGCUAAUUUUAUGGGAGCUGACAGAAAACACACACAUGAUAUCCCAUCAGAAGUUCAAAGAAAAACAUUUUUACUUCCCAGAAGGAAUCUGCACGGUCAUGAAGGAAAUGCUGCAAGUUCAUCACUCCCAGUUGUGCAGUUGUUUGUGUGCUUCACAUAGUUUCAGAACAGACCACUCCUUGCUGUGUUUAUUUCUUGGGUGUGUUUGCCUGGAUAGCUCUGAGCUUCUCUUCCCCAUUUGGGACUCCCCAUCUUUCUGCUUUAUUUCCUCCUCCUUUAAUGACCAAACACAGGAGCAACCUGUCAUACCAGCUGAGACAGAUGGAACAAAGCUUCUCCCCGACGCCAUCAACCGUACUUGCAGAUAGGCUGGGAUGGUAGCUUGCUAGUGAUUGGGCCAAUCCCUCUGCCUUCUAGAGCUGAGCAUGCAAUCUCUGCAGUACUCCCACCUAUUGACAUGGCAGCAAGGGACUGCAUUUGAGAUCUACAUUUGGAUGUCCUUUGCAAAAACAUUGCUCUUUCAUCAGGCCACCAGGCUAGCCCCUCCAGUGCUAAUUUUUGGUUCAGGUGGGUCUACUUCCAGGGAUCAACAAAAGGUGAUUGCUUAUGAAAAGAGUCUUCUAAUAAAGACAGAGCAGAGUUAUGCUUGUCCCUUGGUAACUUCUUAAUACAGAAGGUUCCCUCUUAAGUGUGACCAAUUGUUUUUAUCUUCAGAGGCUUACAAAACAAUUGCCAAAAUCGCAAUGACUAAAGCAUGAAUUUUACAAUGAUCAAACCCAAACGGGGCAGAUGUUCCUGCAUCUGCCACUUCUGUCACAGGUAAUGAGACUUGUGCAGCUUGGGUCUCUCUCUAUCUAAGCUGAAGCAUUUUCCUAUCACCGAUCAGAGAAUUAAUCACACGAGUUAAUGUGGGGUUUGAAAUGAGGCCCUUAGAUUUUUUUUCGUUAAUAACGGAGACUUGACUUUUUCUGAA
Molecule: long non-coding RNA, 1386 nt
Organism: Mauremys reevesii (Reeves's turtle)
Lineage: Eukaryota; Metazoa; Chordata; Testudines; Geoemydidae
Exons: 3
Source: RefSeq, a predicted model, not a curated record